GCUAGCGGCAUGCUUAACACAUGCAAGUCGAACGGCAGCGCGGGGAGCUUGCUCCCUGGCGGCGAGUGGCGACGGGUGAGUAAUGUGUAGGAAUCUGCCUUAUAGUGGGGGAUAACCCGAGGAAACUCGGGCUAAUACCGCGUAAUCUCUACGGAGCAAAGAGGGCCUCUGUUUUAAGCUCUCGCUAUAAGAUGAGCCUACAUCGGAUUAGCUAGUUGGUGGGGUAAAGGCCUACCAAGGCGACGAUCCGUAGCUGGUUUGAGAAGAUGAUCAGCCACACUGGGACUGAGACACGGCCCAGACUCCUACGGGAGGCAGCAGUGGGGAAUAUUGGACAAUGGGCGAAAGCCUGAUCCAGCAAUGCCGCGUGUGUGAAGAAGGCCUUAGGGUUGUAAAGCACUUUCAGCGAGGAAGAAAAGCUUAUGGCUAAUACCUAUAAGUGUUGACGUUACUCGCAGAAGAAGCACUGGCUAACUCUGUG
RNAcentral lists this ribosomal RNA (481 nucleotides) under uncultured bacterium. RNAcentral describes it as "bacterial SSU rRNA". It matches the Rfam family "Bacterial small subunit ribosomal RNA", at positions 35 to 507 of the family's 1533-position model. The record is from RNAcentral.